CCGAGUCGGGGAUUCCCUGCUGCCCGCGCGCAAGCGCGGGCCUGGGAUUCCGCGGGGGCGGGGCCGGAGAAAGAAGGGGCUUUUCCGUGCUAGGGAACAAAGGCUAUUACCAUAUUCCCUUUGUCAGAGGAUCGAAGCGGUCCUCUCAGCUCCGGAGUGUUAUUUCCUCUCUGGUCCACCGGCCAUCCCUCUGCAGGUCCCCGGGAGAGCUUGCCACACGCAGCUCCGAUACCUUUCCUACCUUGCUCACAGACCCGCCGUGGCUCCCUACCUUCCUGCGGUGAAGCCCUAUUCUUCAGCCCGGCGUCUGAGGCCCUGAACGCCCAGCUGGAAAGCUGUGACCUCCAGGCCUUUGCACAUGUGGUUCCUUCAGCCUUUUCUGCCCCUGUCUGUGCACAGAACUCCUAUGCAUCCUUCGAGGUCUUCCCUCCAUGAAACCCUCAUGGCCUCCUUUGGCCCAGCCCUGGAUGCCACACAGUUGGGGGGUAUGGAGACCAGAAGCCGCAAGGGCAGCCUUGUGGGGGCUGUCACGUGGGUGAGAGCCAUAGCAGUGACCUGGUAAAUGCUUGGACCCUACCCCUACCCAUGGGGGCCCAUCUGGCUGCUGCCCUCCCUUUCUGCCAACUUUCCAAGGCCAAGUAAGCUCUAGGAAGCCAGAACCAGGAACAGAUCUCACCCAACCCUUCCCGGACAUGCAGCCUCUGAUGGGACACUUAUUCCUACCCGGAUCCACCUGCCCGUUCCAGCCUCCAGGCCCUCGCCUGCCCACGGCCCUGCCUAUACAAUGGGAUCCGACUCAUCUCCCGCUCAGGCCCGCUCGGAAGAAAUCCUCCACUGGGAAGCCUGCCCAUGACUUGACCCAGAUGCCUCCCCUGCUGGAGUAACACCAGAGCAGCCAGCAUUUCCUGACCCCCCCCCCCCCCCCAGCACAGCAUGUGACCUGACUGCUGACUCUGAACCAGAACCUCAGGAUGCUAACACGUCGCCUUCAGCUCGCCUCUGGUUCUGCCCCUGAAGUACUUUGUGACCUGGAGCCAGCGCCUCCACCUCUCUGAGCAGUCCCCUCGUAGCAGCCCAGCAAAGCGUCCAGGGGUGGUGGUCCAGAUCCCUUAACGGACAAGGGGCCAGCCAGGUGGGGAGGCCGUAAGAGCCAGGCACAGGUCUCAGCUUGCUGCGACAACACGCAGUUGGGGGCCCUGAUCUUCUCUGGCCGUGACCCCUGCAUUCCAGCCCUCCUCUCCCCACCACCCACCCACCCACCCGCCACCCACAGAGACGUCGAGUGCACGCUUUGCCUCACCGAUCGCCUUUAUUGGGCAUCAGCCCCAGGGCUCCACGGGCGCAGGAAGGGGGUGGUGGGUGUCACUCGAAGCAGGGACCCUCCGGUGGGAGGCACGACCGAUGAUGCCACCUAGCCCCCAGGAUGCUUGCCUCAGCCCCGGACCUCUCUGUGACCCACGCAGCUGGCCCAGCGGACGGCGUGUGAGGUCAUGACCCUGACCGCCUGUAGGGCGGCUCCCCCAGUUCUGGGCUCACUUGGGGGUAUUGAAGGGCACGGCCCGCUGGUUCAUGGGGUUGUCCGGCGACCGCAGCCACUCCUUCUUGAGCAGCUGCUUCAGCUGCGACAGCCGCAUGUUGGGGUUUUCUUGCUUGAGCCGCGGCAGCUGCGCCUCCUCGAAGGCGGUGAAGGCCGCCCGCAUGCGGCGCUCUGGGUGCCGGUCGGCAGCCUCCUCCGUCACGCUAGGGGAGGACAGGGAGGAGGAGAGCCGAGUGAGGGGGGGGAGGGGUCUAGGGUGCGGCCCCGCCCGCGGGGAGGGCCGUGCUCCGCCCCCAGACACAUAGCCCCACCCCCGGCGCUCAAGCCCCACCCCAUCACCUGAGCACCGCGAUGGCAUCCUCGAUGGUGCGCGCCUCCACACUGCCCUCCUCCAGCACGCGGCGGUUCACAUUCUCCUCCAGCGGCACCUCCAAGUGGCUCUUGGCUUUCUCGGCUGGGGGCGGAAGACAGCCAAGUGACAGGGACGCACACAGGGACGGAGAUAAGCGGGGAUGCAGAGCUCCGGAGAGAUGAGAGCGACGCAGUGGGGGAAGAGAGGAGAGAGAAGGAGGCAAGCAGGCAAAGAACGACGGGGGCGCCCUCCUGUCCUCCCAGCGCCCAGGCCCCUGCCCAGGCCCCGCUGCCAUCCUGACUUCCCUGCAGCUGAGCACACAGGAGACACCCCCACUCCUGGCUGCUGUCUCCUUACCCUCCGGGCACCCCAUUCAGUCCCCGGAGACCCCAUGGCCCACAAGCGGAGGUCAGACGCACAGCGAGUAAAUACACACGUGUUUGUGCCCAUGCUCUCGUGCCCAAAGCCAGGCCUGCCAGGACGCUGCCCACCCCUGCUUCACCACACAGCCCAGGCAGCUUCUCUGGGGGUGAGGAAGGGGCUCUAGAUUCAGCCAGGGUUAGUCCUGCGGCCUGGCCUUUAGCGGGGGAAAAGGCAGCUCCAGAGCGAGCCAAAGCCCCACCUGGGUCUGGGGCUUCCUUGUGUUGGUGGUCUCGACGGAGCGUCUCCUCAAUCUGGGCGCGGGUGACCUUGCUGGGCGCGGCCGCCCGGGGGGCCUUGCCACCCUUGAGCUUGGAGUCUUCCUCCUCCAGCAGGCGCUGCGUCUCCUUCUUGCGCUCUAGCUGC
Molecule: long non-coding RNA, 2675 nt
Organism: Felis catus (domestic cat)
Lineage: Eukaryota; Metazoa; Chordata; Mammalia; Carnivora; Felidae
Exons: 2
Source: RefSeq, a predicted model, not a curated record